Molecule: ribosomal RNA, 465 nt
Filed under: Vreelandella stevensii
Lineage: Bacteria; Pseudomonadati; Pseudomonadota; Gammaproteobacteria; Oceanospirillales; Halomonadaceae
Description: partial 16S ribosomal RNA
Rfam family: Bacterial small subunit ribosomal RNA
Source: RNAcentral
CCUACGGGGAGCAGCAGUGGGGAAUAUUGGACAAUGGGCGAAAGCCUGAUCCAGCCAUGCCGCGUGUGUGAAGAAGGCCUUCGGGUUGUAAAGCACUUUCAGUGGGGAAGAAAGCCUUGGGGCUAAUACCCUCGAGGAAGGACAUCACCCACAGAAGAAGCACCGGCUAACUCCGUGCCAGCAGCCGCGGUAAUACGGAGGGUGCGAGCGUUAAUCGGAAUUACUGGGCGUAAAGCGCGCGUAGGCGGUCUGAUAAGCCGGUUGUGAAAGCCCCGGGCUCAACCUGGGAACGGCAUCCGGAACGGUCAGGCUAGAGUGCAGGAGAGGAAGGUAGAAUUCCCGGUGUAGCGGUGAAAUGCGUAGAGAUCGGGAGGAAUACCAGUGGCGAAGGCGGCCUUCUGGACUGACACUGACGCUGAGGUGCGAAAGCGUGGGUAGCAAACAGGAUUAGAUACCCGAGUAGUC